Molecule: small RNA, 115 nt
Filed under: Proteus vulgaris
Lineage: Bacteria; Pseudomonadati; Pseudomonadota; Gammaproteobacteria; Enterobacterales; Morganellaceae
Description: tp2
Rfam family: tp2
Source: RNAcentral
UGUAUUCCUUAUCUGUUAUCUGUUUUUAAUGGUUAUGGGAGUCUAUCUUCCCGUUAUACCUAUUUGAUAUGACGGGAAGAUAGACCCUGCUGUUAUUACCGCUAUCCCUGAAAAU